AAGUCGUAACAAGGUUUCCGUUUCGUAACAAGGUUUUUGAUUGUGCAAGGAUAGCGCUUCUACGAUUCCUGUAGACCGUACACUCGGGCAGGAGCUUUGCCAAAGGGUCCCCAUGCCCCCUAACCCACAGUUUAAUGUGAAGCUCAAUGUAAUACAUUGGGUAAAAAAACCGAACAACUGUUAACAAUGGAUAUCUUGGUUCUC
This 204-nucleotide unclassified non-coding RNA is filed under the name fungal sp. RNAcentral's name for it is "partial internal transcribed spacer region". The record is from RNAcentral. Lineage: Eukaryota; Fungi.